UCGCCUUUCCUCCUCCCCCUCGGAGCCGGCUUCUCCCCCGCCCCGUUUCUCCCCCACUUGAGUACGCUAUUUGUUGCGGGGUGGCCGAAGGGGAUGUCCUGUUUCCACCAGAGGCACAGCGCGAAGGGGAAACUUCGACACUGGAAGGAACGAGAAUAAAUAUCUAAGUAGCGACGCGCGGAUCCGCGGCUGGGACACGCGCUUGAACUUCGGGAUCCCGAGGCGGCCGGGCGGCAGGAGAUAGUCCACUCUUAAUUGAAGGAAGCUGCUUCUACGUGGGAGUGUCAGGAGAAGUGAGAAAACCACAUGGAAGACACCCAGGAUUUAAAUGAACAAUCAGUGAAGAAAACGUGCACAGAAUCAGAUGUUUCAGAACCUCAGAAUUCCAGGU
Molecule: long non-coding RNA, 391 nt
Organism: Diceros bicornis minor
Lineage: Eukaryota; Metazoa; Chordata; Mammalia; Perissodactyla; Rhinocerotidae
Exons: 3
Source: RefSeq, a predicted model, not a curated record